GUCCUGUACAGUCUAUGCUGCUACAGAUACGAGGCGACACGACCCCCCUGAGGGAGCUGCUCUUAGACCUCACUCAUGUGGAUGACAGCUGGACUUCGGUGUGGCCGGCAAAACGUGACAACAUCCACCAACCACUGGAACACAUCUCCAAAGUUCUGCCGGGCCAGCUCAGCUUCCCCUCAGAAGAAGUGCAGCCACCUGCCAGAUGAAGGAGCCUUUUGAGAGGCAGCUGGCAUCGUGAUUGGACUGUACUUUGGUCUGUUCCAGUCCAGCUUCAGCUCCAGAGACGGCAGGCGGGACGAGUCAACGGAGGCCGGGUGGACGAAGGCAUGAAGCUGAGUACAAUCCAGAAAACAACAGAGGAGGAGUGCAGGGCCAGAACAAACAGAGUAGCAUGGUAUGUCUCUUAGAAAACAUCAUAGUAUAGCCUUUGGUAUGAAAAAACGCCAUCAUAUACAUCGUAUAUUGUACAAAUAACAAGUCAAAGCAAAGAGACAUACAUUGUAGAAUUGUAGUAAUUGUGGGCUGACUGAUUUACUGAUUAUCAGUAUUUUAUUUUUUACUGAUUUACGGUAAUAAAUACAUUUAAAAAUGGUGCUUCUUUGUCUCUGAACC
Long non-coding RNA from Amphiprion ocellaris (clown anemonefish), 615 nucleotides. The record is from Ensembl. NCBI's taxonomy places the organism in Eukaryota, Metazoa, Chordata, Actinopteri, Pomacentridae.